GUAUAGUGUGCGCACGGGUGAGUAACACGUAGGCAAUUUGCCUUCAGGACGGGGACAACUCCGCGAAAGCGGAGCUAAUACCCGAUAAUGCAGCGGCACCGCAUGGUGAUGUUUGUUAAAGGUCCGCAAGGGUGCCUGGAGAUGAGCCUGCGUCCAUUAGGUAGUUGGUGAGGUAACGGCCACCAAGCCCGCGAUGGGUAGCUGGUCUGAGAGGAUGAUCAGCCACACUGGAACUGAGACACGGUCCAGACUCCUACGGGAGGCAGCAGUGAGGAAUAUUGCGCAAUGGCCGAAAGGCUGACGCAGCAGACGCCGCGUGAACGGAUGAAGUCCGUCAGGAUGUAAACUUCUUUUGCAGGGGGAUGAAUGUGCGCCUUUGGCGCAUUGACCGUACCCUGCGAAUCANAGUGAUCGGCUAACUACGUGCCAGNCAGCCGCGGUAAUACGUAGGAUCCGAGCGUUGUCCGGAAUUACUGGGUGUAAA
This 484-nucleotide ribosomal RNA is filed under the name uncultured bacterium. Its description in RNAcentral is "bacterial SSU rRNA". It matches the Rfam family "Bacterial small subunit ribosomal RNA", at positions 89 to 564 of the family's 1533-position model. The record is from RNAcentral.